RNAcentral lists this ribosomal RNA (253 nucleotides) under uncultured bacterium. RNAcentral's name for it is "partial 16S ribosomal RNA". It matches the Rfam family "Bacterial small subunit ribosomal RNA", at positions 524 to 776 of the family's 1533-position model. The record is from RNAcentral.
UACGUAGGUGGCAAGCGUUGUCCGGAUUUACUGGGCGUAAAGAGCGCGCAGGCGGUCGUUCAAGUCGCGUGUGAAAGCCCCCGGCUCAACUGGGGAGGGUCACGCGAUACUGAUCGACUCGAAGGCAGGAGAGGGUAGUGGAAUUCCCGGUGUAGUGGUGAAAUGCGUAGAUAUCGGGAGGAACACCAGUGGCGAAGGCGGCAUCCUGGACCGACAUUGACGCUGAAAACCGAAAGCUAGGGGAGCAAACGGG